UACGUAGGGUGCGAGCGUUAAUCGGAAUUACUGGGCGUAAAGCGUGCGCAGGCGGUUUUGUAAGCCAGAUGUGAAAGCCCCGGGCUCAACCUGGGAAUGGCAUUUGGGACUGCAAGGCUUGAGUGUGGCAGAGGAGACUGGAAUUCCUGGUGUAGCAGUGAAAUGCGUAGAUAUCAGGAGGAAUACCGAUGGCGAAGGCAGGUCUCUGGGCUAACACUGACGCUCAUGCACGAAAGCGUGGGGAGCAAACAGG
This 253-nucleotide ribosomal RNA is filed under the name uncultured bacterium. Its description in RNAcentral is "partial 16S ribosomal RNA". It matches the Rfam family "Bacterial small subunit ribosomal RNA", at positions 524 to 776 of the family's 1533-position model. The record is from RNAcentral.